CCUACGGGAGGCAGCAGUGAGGAAUAUUGGUCAAUGGACGAGAGUCUGAACCAGCCAAGUAGCGUGAAGGAUGACUGCCCUACGGGUUGUAAACUUCUUUUAUAUGGGAAUAAAACGUUCCACGUGUGGGAUUUUGUAUGUACCAUAUGAAUAAGGAUCGGCUAACUCCGUGCCAGCAGCCGCGGUAAUACGGAGGAUCCGAGCGUUAUCCGGAUUUAUUGGGUUUAAAGGGAGCGUAGGUGGAUUGUUAAGUCAGUUGUGAAAGUUUGCGGCUCAACCGUAAAAUUGCAGUUGAAACUGGCAGUCUUGAGUACAGUAGAGGUGGGCGGAAUUCGUGGUGUAGCGGUGAAAUGCUUAGAUAUCACGAAGAACUCCGAUUGCGAAGGCAGUUCACUGGACUGCAACUGACACUGAGGCUCGAAAGUGUGGGUAUCAAACAGGAUUAGAUACCCGAGUAGUC
This 460-nucleotide ribosomal RNA is filed under the name uncultured bacterium. RNAcentral describes it as "partial 16S ribosomal RNA". It matches the Rfam family "Bacterial small subunit ribosomal RNA", at positions 338 to 795 of the family's 1533-position model. The record is from RNAcentral.